CUAGGUCUUGGAUGGCACAAAAGAGUGGACCUUUCUAACAAGCUCCAAGCAGAGCAGAAGAAAAGGAGGAUAAUUGGCACAAAUCACACAGUCCUGGUGGUCAAGGCGUUCCAAAGUUUAGUACAUAAAUAUAGAAGAGAAAACAAAAUCAGGACGGCACAAUGACCAACUCGCAUUACCUGUUAGAUUUUGACUCUUGAAUAGUUAUCGAAUAUUAAACAAAGCACAUAAAGACC
This is a long non-coding RNA of Canis lupus familiaris (dog), 236 nucleotides long. RefSeq lists it as uncharacterized. The transcript is spliced from 3 exons. Lineage: Eukaryota; Metazoa; Chordata; Mammalia; Carnivora; Canidae. The record is from RefSeq and is a predicted model, not a curated record.